CCUGGCUCAGAACGAACGCUGGCGGCGUGCUUAACACAUGCAAGUCGAACGCGAAAGGGACUUCGGUCCUGAGUAAAGUGGCGCACGGGUGAGUAAUGCGUAGAUAACCUGUCUUCAUGUCUGGAAUAAUACGCCGAAAGGGGUACUAAUACCGGAUAUUCUUGCUUUUCAUAAGUUAUGCAAGCAAAGGUGGCCUCUGCAUAUGCUACUGCAUGAAGAGGGGUCUGCGUACCAUUAGCUAGUAGGUGGGGUAAUGGCCUACCUAGGCGACGAUGGUUAGCGGGUCUGAGAGGAUGAUCCGCCACACUGGCACUGGAACACGGGCCAGACUCCUACGGGAGGCAGCAGUGAGGAAUAUUGCGCAAUGGGGGAAACCCUGACGCAGCGACGCCGCGUGAAGUGAGGAAGGCCUUCGGGUCGUAAAGCUCUGUCAAGAGGAAAGAAGUGUACAAUGGCUAAUACCUGUUGUAUUUGACGGUACCUCUAAAGGAAGCACCGGCUAACUCCGUGCCAGCCGCGGC
This 521-nucleotide ribosomal RNA is filed under the name uncultured bacterium. RNAcentral describes it as "bacterial SSU rRNA". It matches the Rfam family "Bacterial small subunit ribosomal RNA", at positions 18 to 518 of the family's 1533-position model. The record is from RNAcentral.